CAAGAGCGUAUAUUAAAGUUGCUGCGGUUAAAAAGCUCGUAGUUGGAUUUCAGUCUAGGAAGGUUAACUCGCCGAAAGGUUGUACGUUGAUUUUCCUCAGACUUCGUCAGAAGCUCGUGCUGCACUUAACUGUGUGGUACGAUUUUCUGACCUUUUACCUUGAGGAAAGUAGAGUGUUUCAGGCAGGCUACCCAGCUUGAAUACAUUAGCAUGGAAUAAUGAAAUGGAUCUCGGUUCGAUUUCGUUGGUUCUAGAGCUGAGGUGAUGAUCAAUAGGAACAGGCGAAGGUAUUCGUACUUGAGAGUGAGGAGUGAAAUCCGAUGAUCUCUUAAAGACGAUCCGAGGCGAAAGCAUUUGUCAAGGAUGUUUUCAUUGA
This 376-nucleotide ribosomal RNA is filed under the name uncultured eukaryote. Its description in RNAcentral is "partial 18S ribosomal RNA". It matches the Rfam family "Eukaryotic small subunit ribosomal RNA", at positions 592 to 976 of the family's 1831-position model. The record is from RNAcentral.